Molecule: ribosomal RNA, 253 nt
Filed under: uncultured bacterium
Lineage: Bacteria
Description: partial 16S ribosomal RNA
Rfam family: Bacterial small subunit ribosomal RNA
Source: RNAcentral
UACAGAGGGUGCAAGCGUUGUUCGGAAUUAUUGGGCGUAAAGCGCGUGUAGGCGGCUUUGCAAGUCGGGUGUGAAAGCCCUCAGCUCAACUGAGGAAGUGCGCCCGAAACUGCAGAGCUUGAGUACCGGAGAGGAUGGUGGAAUUCCCCAAGUAGAGGUGAAAUUCAUAGAUAUGGGGAGGAACACCGGUGGCGAAGGCGACCAUCUGGACGGAUACUGACGCUGAGACGCGAAAGCGUGGGUAGCAAACAGG